This is a small nucleolar RNA of Camelus dromedarius (Arabian camel), 72 nucleotides long. NCBI's taxonomy places the organism in Eukaryota, Metazoa, Chordata, Mammalia, Artiodactyla, Camelidae. The record is from Ensembl.
UGGACUAAUGAUGAAGACUGGUGGAGUAUGAGUCAUGGAUGAUGAAUACUUGUCUGGAACUCUGAGGUCCAA